GGGUCACAUGGACGAAGGUUCAGUGACAACAGCUCUGUGAUUCCUUCCCACAUUAUUUCAACCUGUUGUGAAAAUCAUUCAUUAGAGCUAGGCAAUGGCUGUUGUCAUGGAUACCUAUUGUUUUAAUCAGCCCAAUGGGCUACCUGUUUGUAGGAACUGCGCUUCUACUCCGUCGGUGUUGUUCAGCUCUGACUCACCUGGACAGGCCUGCUUUCUCCCUGGGUUUGCUGUAACAAAGUACCAUAGAUGGAGUAGUGCAAAAAUCACAGAGAUUAUUAUUUCUCAAUUAUGGAGGCUGAAAGACUGAAAUCAAGAUUUUAUGUUGCUGAGCAAUCCUGAAUCACAAACCUGUCAAAGAGGAAGCUGUUUGUGUUUGGGAACUUCACAUGUGAGAAUACAUUCCAGCAGCAGGAUGAGAGGAUUUUCCUGAAGCCUAGAAGUUCUUGGAGUUCCACUGGAUUUGCAAAUGUACCAAAGAGGGCACAUCUUGUUGUGCAUAUUUUUGAACUUUCAAAUCUUAUGUCUCAAAAUGCUGGUUGCUGGUGGAAGGGGUCUUUUGCAGGUAGACGUGACUCAGGAAAGGGGAAAUGAGCAGGAGGAGAGAGACACAAGGAGUUCCACACACUGGGGAAAGGUCCCCACUGUGUUUUGUAUUUGUGUUUUAAAUUUUGGGAGUGACUCAUAGGCAUUUAGCAAAAGUAAUUGAUUAAAUUAACCUUAUCAGUACUGAGGUUUCCUGGCCUCUCUCAUCAGAUACUUGGCUCACAGGCUGGUAGGUAUUUAGUUGGUGACUGGUGAAGAGUGUGGGCUGAGUCCCACCUUUACAAGUGUGACGGUAAUACCAUCCUUGCUCUAUCACAUCCAGACUUUAUUAAAAUCAAGACGUGGUCCCCUGACUUGUUUGUUUUCCUUGGGCAUACAAAACAGAUGCUUGGGACUCACUUCACUAGACACAGCAAAUCAGGGUCAGCUGUGAAGAGUCAAGUGCACACUUUGCCUGUUCUGCAAGGAUACAUUUUUUAGC
This is a non-coding RNA of Ictidomys tridecemlineatus (thirteen-lined ground squirrel), 1024 nucleotides long. The record is from RefSeq and is a predicted model, not a curated record. NCBI's taxonomy places the organism in Eukaryota, Metazoa, Chordata, Mammalia, Rodentia, Sciuridae.